This 184-nucleotide ribosomal RNA is filed under the name Osteochilus salsburyi. Its description in RNAcentral is "partial small subunit ribosomal RNA". Lineage: Eukaryota; Metazoa; Chordata; Actinopteri; Cypriniformes; Cyprinidae. The record is from RNAcentral.
AGGCCCUAGUUGAUUUUACCUAACGGCGUAAAGGGUGGUUAAGGAUUAUAUGUUAAUAAAGCCAAAUGGCCCUUUGGCCGUCAUACGCUUCUAGGUGUCCGAAGCCCUACACGAAAGUAGCUUUAACAAAUUUACCUGACCCCACGAAAGCUGAGAAACAAACUGGGAUUAGAUACCCCACUAU